GCGGGUGUAGUUUAAUGGUAGAACUUCAGCCUUCCAAGCUGACUGUGAGGGUUCGAUUCCCUUCACCCGCUCCA
This 74-nucleotide transfer RNA is filed under the name Spiroplasma poulsonii. RNAcentral describes it as "tRNA-Gly". It matches the Rfam family "tRNA". From Rfam's summary of the family: Transfer RNA (tRNA) molecules are approximately 80 nucleotides in length. The record is from RNAcentral. RNAcentral also lists the same sequence under 36 other names. Lineage: Bacteria; Bacillati; Mycoplasmatota; Mollicutes; Entomoplasmatales; Spiroplasmataceae.